This 467-nucleotide ribosomal RNA is filed under the name uncultured bacterium. RNAcentral describes it as "partial 16S ribosomal RNA". It matches the Rfam family "Bacterial small subunit ribosomal RNA", at positions 28 to 506 of the family's 1533-position model. The record is from RNAcentral.
GACGAACGCUGGCGGCGUGCUUAACACAUGCAAGUCGAACGGAAAGGCCCUGCUUUUGUGGGGUGCUCGAGUGGCGAACGUGUGAGUAACACGUGAGUAACCUGCCCUUGACUUUGGGAUAACUUCAGGAAACUGGGGCUAAUACCGGAUAGGAGCUCCUGCUGCAUGGUGGGGGUUGGAAAGUUUCGGCGGUUGGGGAUGGACUCGCGGCUUAUCAGCUUGUUGGUGGGGUAGUGGCUUACCAAGGCUUUGACGGGUAGCCGGCCUGAGAGGGUGACCGGCCACAUUGGGACUGAGAUACGGCCCAGACUCCUACGGGAGGCAGCAGUGGGGAAUAGUGCACAAUGGGCGGAAGCCUGAUGCAGCAACGCCGCGUGCGGGAUGACGGCCUUCGGGUUGUAAACCGCUUUCGCCUGUGACGAAGCGUGAGUGACGGUAAUGGGUAAAGAAGCACCGGCUAACUACGU